AAGGGUAUAUCUCAAGUGGCAGAGUGCGUGCUUAGCAUACACGAGGUCCUGGGUUCAUUUCCCAGUACCUUUU
Transfer RNA from Camelus ferus (Wild Bactrian camel), 73 nucleotides. It matches the Rfam family "tRNA". From Rfam's summary of the family: Transfer RNA (tRNA) molecules are approximately 80 nucleotides in length. Their secondary structure includes four short double-helical elements and three loops (D, anti-codon, and T loops). Further hydrogen bonds mediate the characteristic L-shaped molecular structure. tRNAs have two regions of fundamental functional importance: the anti-codon, which is responsible for specific mRNA codon recognition, and the 3' end, to which the tRNAs corresponding amino acid is attached (by aminoacyl-tRNA synthetases). tRNAs cope with the degeneracy of the genetic code in two manners: having more than one tRNA (with a specific anti-codon) for a particular amino acid; and 'wobble' base-pairing, i.e. permitting non-standard base-pairing at the 3rd anti-codon position. Lineage: Eukaryota; Metazoa; Chordata; Mammalia; Artiodactyla; Camelidae. The record is from Rfam.